UUUGAUCNUGGCUCAGGAUGAACGCUGGCGGCGUGCUUAACACAUGCAAGUCGAACGAACCUUCGGGUUAGUGGCGGACGGGUGAGUAACGCGUGAGAAUCUGCCCUCAGGAGGGGGAUAACGGCUGGAAACGGCCGCUAAAACCCCAUAUGCCGAGAGGUGAAAUGGAUUUCGCCUGAGGAUGAGCUCGCGUAGGAUUAGCUAGUUGGUGAGGUAAAGGCUCACCAAGGCAUCGAUCAGUAGCUGGUCUGAUAGGAUNAUCACCCACACUGGGACUGAGACACGGGCCAGACUCCUACGGGAGGCAGCAGUGGGGAAUUUUCCGCAAUGGGCGCAAGCCUGACGGAGCAACGCCGCGUGAGGGAUGAAGGCCUCUGGGCUGUAAACCUCUUUUAUCAAGGAAGAAG
RNAcentral lists this ribosomal RNA (407 nucleotides) under uncultured bacterium. RNAcentral's name for it is "bacterial SSU rRNA". It matches the Rfam family "Bacterial small subunit ribosomal RNA", at positions 12 to 450 of the family's 1533-position model. The record is from RNAcentral.